GGUACACUGAAUUGCACCAGC
Molecule: microRNA, 21 nt
Filed under: Ciona intestinalis (vase tunicate)
Lineage: Eukaryota; Metazoa; Chordata; Ascidiacea; Phlebobranchia; Cionidae
Description: Cin-Mir-92-o76_5p* (star (passenger))
Source: RNAcentral